CUACGGCCACAUCACGUUUAAGCAUCGGUCCCAGUACGAUCACCGAAGUUAAGCAACGUCGUGCCAAGUCAGUACUUAGACGAGUGACUGCUUAGAAAAAUCAGGUGCUAUA
Molecule: non-coding RNA, 112 nt
Organism: Acanthosepion pharaonis
Lineage: Eukaryota; Metazoa; Mollusca; Cephalopoda; Sepiida; Sepiidae
Source: the annotation of a GenBank genome assembly